RNAcentral lists this ribosomal RNA (253 nucleotides) under uncultured bacterium. RNAcentral describes it as "partial 16S ribosomal RNA". It matches the Rfam family "Bacterial small subunit ribosomal RNA", at positions 524 to 776 of the family's 1533-position model. The record is from RNAcentral.
GACGUAGGUGGCUAGCGUUAUCCGGAUUUACUGGGCGUAAAGAGUGCGUAGGCGGCCUUUCAAGUCAGAUGUAAAAUCUCCCGGCUCAACUGGGAGGGACCACCUGAUACUGUUGGGCUAGAGUACAGCAGAGGGAAGCGGAAUUCCCGGUGUAGUGGUGGAAUGCGUAGAUAUCGGGAGGAACACCAGUGGCGAAAGCGGCUUUCUGGGCUGUUACUGACGCUGUUGCACGAAGGUGCGGGGAUCAAACAGG